CGCUUAAUAUGAAUGUUAGAAAAGGACAGCCUCAAACAGAUAAUACAAAAAAAUGAGAUGAAAUUCAUAUUUAGCAGCCUCCAAUACAGUAUGUAUUGUUUGAUGCGAUCCAAAAGAACAAGGAACGCGUGGUCUGCUUUGGGGUUUUUGAUUUACUUUGGUAGAUAUCGUUAACAGAAGCACACGUCUAGUUACCACAAGGAAAGAGGAAAAUACUUACAAAAAGUAAAGUUAGUUAGAACAUUAUAGAUAAAGUUACACUCAGUUCUGUGCUAGUGCAAACAAAAUGCGCAAAGGCUGAGUUUUGUGACGACCCUUUGAUUAAAGGAACGGGGUUGAAAGUGUGUGUAAGCACGUUUUCGGUUCAGGUUAAAAGCCCACCUUGCAACGUGGGUGCGAGUUCGGGGCGGCAUUCGUCCGUAUUGAAAAACUACACGUGAAACUGGACGAAACGAAGACCGCUCAAAACUACGUUUUGGUACGGUAGUCCCACGGACUUGACGAAGCCCUCAGACGGUCGCUGUAGUGUAGUUUCGUUCAGUACCGCCCAGUACAAUAAGUCAAGACAUCGCAGGGACUGAAGCGCCACCCGACGGCAGGUGGAUGAACCCAUCUAGUGACGACACACAACUGUGAUCCGACUUCGUUUACCCUAUUACGUCACCGAGUUGUAUCCGAUGAGAAACCGUUCGAGGUUGGCAAUAAGCUUUGCGAUUACGUCACCGACCCUCCCACUGGGUAUCUGGGAUAAGCUGAGCAGUGGACGUUGGCGGUUAGGAAAACCGGGGAAACUAGCGUAUGCGGUCGACUCCGAAUGCUCCCGAUACGUGUGGAUUACCUGCCAAGCCUACUUGAAUAUAGCCAGAACAAAAAGGUUAGAUUAGACGUAAGACAAUUUUGUACCAUUUAGAAUAGUGACGUCACUCAUAAGACAGGAACCAAAACUAUGAAUAUAAGUGAGAAUGUUACCGCAACAAAAAGUUCAUUAUGUACAGAGGUUCCCCAGCCUAUGUUGACGUUUCUUCCUAGGGUGUGCGGGUUGAUAAAAUCUUUUUGAUCACUCUGAUGCUAGAUAAGGAAUAUCCUCUCAUUAUAGUUUUUUUUUGAUAGGGACUCAACAGCUUCCGUCUCUAUUGUGGGUACGCUAAUUUGGAUUCGGGUGU
Long non-coding RNA from Armigeres subalbatus, 1163 nucleotides. RefSeq lists it as uncharacterized. The transcript has 3 exons. NCBI's taxonomy places the organism in Eukaryota, Metazoa, Arthropoda, Insecta, Diptera, Culicidae. The record is from RefSeq and is a predicted model, not a curated record.